This 253-nucleotide ribosomal RNA is filed under the name uncultured bacterium. RNAcentral describes it as "partial 16S ribosomal RNA". It matches the Rfam family "Bacterial small subunit ribosomal RNA", at positions 524 to 776 of the family's 1533-position model. The record is from RNAcentral.
UACGUAGGUGGCAAGCGUUAUCCGGAUUUAUUGGGCGUAAAGGGAACGCAGGCGGUCUUUUAAGUCUGAUGUGAAAGCCUUCGGCUUAACCGGAGUAGUGCAUUGGAAACUGGGAGACUUGAGUGCAGAAGAGGAGAGUGGAACUCCAUGUGUAGCGGUGAAAUGCGUAGAUAUAUGGAAGAACACCAGUGGCGAAAGCGGCUCUCUGGUCUGUAACUGACGCUGAGGCUCGAAAGCAUGGGUAGCGAACAGG